AAAGAAAAAGAAAAUGGAAUUUGAAAGUCAUGCAUUAAUGUUAUGACUCUGUCAAUGGUGGGUUUUUUUAAUCAUUGUUGUUGUUGUUUUGAGAGAAGGUCUCACUGUGUAGCCCUGGAACAUGGCGUGUAGACCAGACUGGCCUGGACCUCACAGAGAUCUACUUAGCUCUGCCUCCUGGGUGCUGGGAUUAUAUGCCACUACAUUUGACAUUUCUCAAUAUUUGAUUAGCAGCAUUGCAUGUGUGCUUCCGAAUAAAUGCAAUGAGCUGACUAAAGCAUGGUUAUGGAAUCCAGGUGCCAAGAACAGAGAUGCGAAUCAGUGAUAGGGCCUUUCCUUCGGUAUUAGUGGCUUUCUUAUUAAAAACAUUCACCGAAUUGUUUAAGAAAUGCAUUUAUGUUGUCAAGAAAUUCAGCCAGAUGCUGCUAAGGGAUCAAUACAGUAUCAGUUCUUAAGUGGAUAUUUACACUGAGAUUGGUUCCCGAAAGAUAUGCUUGAGUGUGAGAUGUCUCUAUAUCGACAGUUCUUAUAGACACAGCAGUAAAUUGAUUAUAUUGGAAGGCAGGUAUUUAUUACUGUUAAUUAAUUGGAAAAUUAACAGAUAAAUGUAGUAAGGAGAGAAGAGUUGAAAUUCUCACCCAAGAAGAUGACCACAAGUACUUAUCAUGGGUGAUGAAUAAUUCAUCUCCGAAAUUCUGGGUUAGUUCAGAGACAGAAAUCUGUUGUAUUAGCUUUUCUGGGACUAUUCCCAUGGAGACAUCAGCUAUCCCAAAAGGUCAUAUUCUUUGGAGUUUUGUGCUUCAUGAAUUUUGAUUGUUAUUACCAAAAAUAAAAAAAUCAAUGGCCAAAUUUACACUUUAAUUACAUAAAGAAACAUGAAGAAAUUUGCUCAAUUUUUAAAGAUAUGAAAGGAGGCAAUCAAUAUUAUUAACACAAUUUGUAAAUACUGCAGUUCCCAAGUCAGUGGUUCUGGGGAGCUGUCUCCAUGCCCAAGAUUGGACAGAUGGGCAGAAAUUGUAACUGGUCCUCUUGCUCUGAGCCAAUGAUUUGGACCAUGGUGCUUGUUGUUGUUAUUGUUGUUAGGAGAAGAAAUACUAUGACUCUAUAUAUUCGGGUUUUUUUCCCUGUUAUGGCUGUUUUAAAACUCAGGUUGUUUUAGUUAAGAGAAAAUAUAUAGGUUGUGAAGCAUAAAUACACAAGUGUGAGGUGCAGGAUGAAAUAGACAUGAAAAUCUUCUUAGUGCUCUGCUUGGUACACCCAGCAUGUCUUGCACUGCUAGUGCCUUAUGCCUUCUCCUCCAGUCCCAGGCUCAGGCUGCCGCCAUGCUCUGGCACAAGUGUGGAGGUCGGUGAGUGUAGUCAAUGUUCUUGGUUUAGUUCAGGGGCCUUGUCUCUGGACCUUCACUCUAGGGCUGCACGGUGUCCAAGAGACCCAAGAACUAUCAACUGUAGUUAAAUGCUAUUAGGGAUUAUUAGAUACACAGAGAGGUAGAAACCAAAUGACUGAUGUGAUAGAAAAUUUCAUGUGAGAUGAGUCUAGAUACAGGAUGAGAAUAUCUCAGCUGUUCUUAGAUUUGUGACUAGACCAUCCGAGGUUAAUAUUAGGAAGUUAGUGACUCAAAAAUGAACCCAAACAAUAUAGAAGCAGCUAGAAAACAGAAAGUACUAGUCCUGGAUCCAUGAUGACCAAUGGUGUCAUAUAAAUCAUACAUAAUGCACACAUGUCAGAAACAGGUCUACAUGGAAAAAACUAGUCCAUUUCUUCUGUUUUAAAGUGCUUCUGUAGUCAGGCUUAUGUAACAGAUUUUUUUAUGGUUACAUAUUUUUAUUCUAUUUUCACUAUGGGAUUAAUGUGAAAAAUCAAUUCGAUAAAAUAGAUGAAACAACAUCCAUUCCACAAUGCUAAUGGGAAGUAUAUUAAUAUAUAUUGAAAAUGGGGUAGUCCAAGGGGAAAUUAAUGGAAUGUGCAUUUGACCACGUGGCUAAUGAUGGUCUAUAUGUCACACAAGUAGUUAGUAUUCUCUACCAGUCUCAAGUUUAGAAUUGUUCAUUUUAUUAGAAAUGAGAGAUAUAUACUCCAUAUGAUACUAAGGGAAAGCCAAGAAGAAAGGAUACAUGGUAGGGAGGUCUCAGGUUCAUUAUCUCUUCUUUGCUCCAUACUCAAGAAUGACCAUACUGUGUGAGUGGAGGGUCAUCCAAGGUCAGGAGUGCUGCAUUCUGAUGAGAAUAAGAGUGACACCAAUGUGAACUAAAGGCUUCUUGUCUUGCUUUGUGUGGUUUGAGAUACCAUUUAACAAGUAUUUACAGGGUAGUUAAUGAUGGCCAACUGAAUAUCAAUGGCACAAAUAAGGACUGCAUAAAAAUUUUUAUUCAUAAUGAAAAUGUGGAAAGUGUUGUGGAUUAAUGUAAUGAAUAUGUUAAUGUUAGAGAGAAUCCAUGUAUAGAUUAGUAAUGAUAGCACCCAUUGGAAGUGGUUGUAUAUCAUAGGGUUUGUAAUUAUAUUAACUGAUCAAAUAAAAAGUAGAAAUUAGUAUAGAAAAGAAGAUUUAAUCCUGGAUCACUGAUGAUGUAUAGUGCCAUAUGAGUCACACACAAUGGACUCUGGGUCCAGCUUCUUUCCCAAUUUUCUAUGUUUGGAAUAAUUCUGUCAGUAAAAUGGAAUGUAUUUUUUUUUUCAGUUUACAUGUUCAUUUAUUUCCAUCCUAUUAGUUUGAAAGCAUUGUUGUCUGGAUGGAAAUAACUUUUAUACUUUUGUGUGCUCUUUGGCUAGAGAUGAGGUAGACAGUAUAAUUAAUAGAUAAUAGUCAACAUUUGGGUCAAGGAAAGUAGCAUAAAGAGCCUCCAAAUAAUGACUUCCUAAAUAGCCAACUGAGGGGAGAAUGAUAAGCAGAACUAAAAUAGAUUAGCCCAUCUUUUUAAUGAGCUGUUUUGCUUUGAUGUCCUGGGCCUGGAUGCUCUGAGCCAGGGGACACAUCUUGCCAUGGGCUUGAGCUCCAUGGUUACAUGCAUGUGUCAAAAGCACGAAAUGGUGCAUAAUAAUAUGCUGUGACUGCUUUGACUUUUAAAAAGAAUGAAAGUUAACCAGAGAAGCUAAAAUAUGCCUACGGUAAACAUUAGACUGGAAGUCUAUAUUGCACUGAAUUCUUUGUGUAUGAACCACCUAGCUUAGUUUACACAAUACAUCUGAACUCUCUGGAAGCAAUGAUAAAGAAACAUCUUAGUGACUGUUCAAGGGUCUACUUUUUAUUACUUUUAUUUUUUAUCUAUGAAUGAAUCAACAAACUAAUGUGAAAUAGAGAAAGAGGAUCAAUUUGAUUGUUACCUAAAGUCAACUUCCUAUAUCUACCACACCAAAGCCAUCUAACAGUGACUCAGCAUCCACUGAUUCUCCUUUACUACCUCUGCCUCUCUACAACCUCCCCUGUCUCUGCUAACUACCAUUCAACUCCCAGCUUCCCUGAGGUCAGUUUUCAACAUGAAUGAGUUCAUGUACUUCUUGUCCUUCUGUGCCUGAAUUAUUUCUCUUUACAUUAAUAUCUGUGGCUUGAUCCACAAUGUCAAUUUUUUUAAUAAAAAUUAAUUUGUGUCCAAAUAGAAUCUAACAAGGGCUUAAGAGCCUAGUUACUUGACCAUGCUCCAGUGUUGGAUUCACACAUAUUUGGGUCACACUAAUUUUAGACUCCAUAUGUUAUCUGAGAAAAAAGUUGAGAGAGACACAGGGGUCAUCCCAGAGGGAGUGCAUUGUUGGAUAUGAAGAAAAUACAUUAUAUACAUAUAUGAAAUUCUCGUAGAUUUUAUAUAUAUAUAUAUAUAUAUAUAUAUAUAUAUAUAUAAACUUGAAAACUCAUAAUAAUACAGAAAACUGAAAAGAAAAAACUCAUCAGAAAGACAACAAAUAAUUGAAUUUAAAAUGGUAAUUGUACUUUGGUCUCCUUUGAAAGAGAGCAAGGUCAGAUGUGCCAAGUAUCGUAUUCUGAGCUUAUGAAUCAUGUUUGUUGAUUUACUUUAAUUAAUAGCUUAGAAUAAAAAUAGAAAUGCUAUAAUUAAAAAGGCAAAUAAGAACCAGUGUUGGUGGCUGUUGUCAAAUGAGCCUUGUAGGGUGAAUAAAAUAUGCCUGGACUCUGGAGUCAAAUGCAAAAGAAAUAUUGUUCAUUGUCUCAUUAGAAGGUGUCUUCAAGACAGACUUGGCAAUAUCCAAGGCUCUUGGUCCUGGCCUUUGUGUCAAAAUUAGAUGAAUGAGAACAUCAAUCACUCAAUUAAUGAAAUACUGUCUAACUAUAAAAAUACAUGUCUUGGCACAUUAUAAUGUGUUAAGAAAACAGUAAGAUCCUGAUUUAGAUGUCUGACUCCCUUACUUGCCCUUCUUUGGCUAAAGAUAGUUCAGACUCUAUAUGGUAAAGCCAGUGUUCUCAGUAUAUGGAAAGUUUAAAAUUCUUUCAUUAAAAGAAAUAAAAACAAAAAUGAAACCUUACACUGUUAAAUUAAUGAGUGUAUAAAUGACUCCAAAGCACUUGUUCUCAACCUGUGGGUUGCAACUUUUUCACAAGGGUUACAUAUCAGAUAUCCUGUAUAUCAGAUAUUUACAUUACGAUUCCUGACAGUAGCAAAAUCACAGUUAUGAAGCAGCAAUGAACAUAAUUUUAUGGUUGGGGUUCACCACAACAUGAGGAACUGUAUUAAAGUGUUGCAGCAUCAGGAAGGUUGAGAAUAACCACUCUAAACCAUAGAUAAAGUUAAGGGCCAAUGGGGAGAGUGCCCAAUUCGGUUGUCUUAAAUUUUUUUAACCAUGUGUUCUUUUUCCCUGCUCUUCCCCAUGGUCCCGUGUGAGCUGAUGAGAUUCUCCGUGGUAAAGUUCUCCAUGGUCCAUCUCUGUCAGAAACCUGGAGGAUGAUGUAAGUAAUAUUUAAUAAUUAAGUUGCCUGAUAAUCCAACCAACUGGUAGCUGUUGUAUUUGUGUCAAAGGGACACCUGUUCUCACACUCACUGCAGUGCUGUCUACAGGGGCCGAAGUGGGACAGACUUGAGUAGCCAUUAGCUGACAAAUGGAUAAAGAAUGUGAUAGAUGUCAUGGGACACUGCUCAUCCAAAUAAAAGUUAACUGUACCCUAACAAGAGAUUGAUGUCAGUUGUCAUUCCUGAUUGAUCACCUCCACACUGAGGCCAAUUAACAAAAGAUAAAGUCUCAAAUGGAUAGGAUUCUACAGACAGAUGUUAACCUGUCAAGCAUCAUGUUUAUUUUUGUGAAUCAGGCUAUUUUAUUGAUUUACUUUGAUUAGUGACUUAGAAUAAAGUAAAUUCAAAUAAAAAGUAGGAGGUUAAAACAUGAACCAAUGUUGAUAGCAGGUAUUGAGAGUGGGCCUUACACACUACAUGAAACAUCUGGACUCUAAUAGCCAAUAAAAAUGUAAGAUAGUUCAUUUUCUUGGUAGAAGAUAUCCUCCAGACUGGUGGUUUGCACACUGUGGGUCAUGAAUCCUUUGGGGAUUGAAUAACCCAUCACAGGGAUCACAUGCCUGUGAGAUGCCUUAGCACAGUAGUUCUCAACUUGUGGGUCACAGCCUCCUAUGGGAACACCAAUCAGAUAUCCUGCAUGUCAGAUAUUUACAUUACGAUUCAUAACAAUAGCAAAAUUACAGUUCUGAAGUAGUAAUGAAAGUAAUUUUAUAAGUGGGGGUCACCACAACAUGAAGAACUGAAUUAAAAGAUUGUAGCAUUAGGAAGGUUGAGAACCACUGCUCUAAACGUAUUUAAAAAUAUCUAAGGACCCAGAGGCUGGUACCUGUGUUUAUAUUUGUUGAUUAUGCGAUUAAAAUUAAGCAGUGAAACUAUUAUUCAAUCAAUUACUUAUGUAUUAAUCAAAUGUAAACAUGAAGUAUGUCAGGAGCACUUUGAUAUGUUGUUAUAAAAACAGUAAAGCACAGUGGGAAAUAAAUAUAACUCCUAUACUACCAUCCUCAGCUAACAUAGACAUUAGAUGUUCAAGCCUUGUUUAUCAUCUAGAUAUGGGGCUAUUUUAAAGUUCUUUUUAAAUUAAAUUGUUUCUAUAUAUUUUGUUAAGGUAAAAGCAUGCUUUAUUAAAUUAAUGAGUGAAUAAGUCAAUUCAGAAAGCAAAGCUAAAAACCAAAGGUCUAUAAAAAGAAUGUCCCAGCUUUUCACUUUCUUUAUGUUUAUCUGCUCUGCUCUGUGUUCUUCCCAAUGGAAUCAUCUGAGCUGGGGCUGGAAUUCUCCAUGGCUGGUGCUCAGCAGUGCAUUUCUCACCAGAAUCUGGAAAUCCAAAGAGGAUGCUCUUGGGAAGACUACAUGUGGAUGUUCUCCUGAAGAGUGGCAUAUUCUUCCAUGAUAUAUUGAAAAGACACUGAAGAUUAGAUACUGAGGAAGAAUUCAAGGGAAGAAAUAUCAGUCCCUAGAACCAGGUGGCAGACAGCUGCAGCAAUGGUCCUCCUGUGGGCACCUGUGGACAGAAGAGCCCACAACUCAUGGUGCAAACAUUCAGACUUCGAGACCAUCUCCACGCCCCCUAACAGACACACACAGGAACUCUGCAUGUCCUGGGGGCAUCGAGAGUGCUCAGAGCCCUGUAGACUGAGAGCCAACCAUCUGAUCUUCUUCUGUGACCAGAUUAUAGAGGAGACCAGAGCGAUGGCACCAGUUUGCUGAGGUCGAGAGGGCCCGGGCUGCCUUGAUUUCAGUCCAGAGCACCUGCUGGCAGACAGCUACAGCAUUGGCCCUCCUGUGGGCACCUGUGGACAGAAGAGCCCACAAGACUCAUAGUGCCAGCGUUCAGACUUCGAGACCAUCUCCACCCCCCUAACAGACAUACAGGAACUCUGCACGUCCUGGGGGCACCGAGAGUGCUCAGAGCGCUGUAGACUGAGAGUCAACCAUCUGACCUUCUUCCGGGACCAGAUUAUAGAGGAGACCAGAGCGAUGGCACCAGUUUGCUGAGGUCGAGAGGGCCCGGGCUGCCUUGAUUUCAGUCCAGAGCACCUGCUGGCAGACAGCUACAGCAUUGGUCCUCCUGUGGGCACCCGUGCACAGGUCCACCAUACUGAUCACCCUAGAGUGCUGACUUGGAAACAUCCACACACAGUCAUACACACACACACACACACACACACACACACACACACACACACACACACAAAUGCACAUUCACAGUCUGCUUGCCCUCUGGUUCCUGUGAUUUCUCAUAGCCCUGUGAACUCACAGUCAACUGUCUGACCCUCCUGGGAUAUCAAAUUAUAGAAAGCCUGCCUGACUUACUGAUGUUUUCAGAGACUGUUCCAGUCUUCCAGUGUUUUUCUGAUGCCACUUUGACAGCCUGUGACAAACUAUGACUGUUACCUACUUUUGACUCACACUUUGGUUGGAUCUUGUGGGCGUGUAUAAGCUGGCAGUGAAUUCCCUGUAUAUAAACUGCAUCCAGAAUGGCUGCUCCUGCGGUGAGUCCUGCCUUCUCGUGGUCCCCAGUGCAACAUCUCUGUCUCUGCAUUGUACUUUGGACAGUGAUGGACCAUGUAAUUAGAGGAUUCCCCCAAAGGUCAAGGGCUCCAUUCACACCCUGCUGAAGAGGAAAACAAGACCAGUAAUGAAUUCUUCCAAGGUGAUCUGUUCAUCUUCAAUGCCUGCCAGCCCAUCAGUUGCUCAGGAUGAUGUGAGAUCUGGCCAACAUUCUUGUCAUCAUUUUGAUGGAAGACCUUUGCUGACUUGGGGAUGUCUCCACGGCUGGGAGCUAUGCUGACAUCAUGGGUAGAGCUGGACAGACCACUGUGAAGAUUGGCCAGGAUUCCUUCUUCAGGUUUGAUGGUUUACUUAACAGAACUCAAUGUGUGACUGAAAAAUAUAGUAUGGCACCAAGGAUGGCUGCUCCAUACCAGUGAGAGCCACAGAAAUGAAUGGAAGUUGUCAAUUAAUUUAUCAAACCCUAAGGAUAAUUACUUAAGCUUAGAACAACUCCACACAGAGUAGGAAUAAGAAAGAUUUGUAGAGUUGUUGGAAUAAUAGGUCCUCAAAUUAUUUUUAGAUGAUUAUUGAACUAAUUAGCAGACAAUAAAGGAGUAGUGACUAGAAAAAGUCAUGAUUGAUAAUGAUCACUGGUGGCACAUGAGCCACAUGGAUGACUGCAUUUCUGGAGCCCUGAAGGUCUACCAAAGAAGAACUAUAAUCUAUUUCCUUCAUUUCAAGUGUUCUUGUAGGACUGUAGAAUAUAUUCAAUUUUUUCUGAUGUUAUAAAUUCCAUUCAUUUUUUAUAAUUUUAUCAAUGUGAGACUCAGUCAAUUAGUCUUCAAAAUAAAAUAGGUAAAGCAUUGUCUAAUUCUCAAAAUAUGAGAGCCAUGAAAUAGAUCAGUAUGUACAGAAUACAUUAUGCCACCUUUAAAACAUAUUUUUUUCUGUUGAUGACAUCCUAGCAGUGUAAAUUACAUACAAUGCCACAUUCUGAGCAAGUUUGAAAAUUUCCAUCUUUUUAAAAGAUAAGAUUAAAUAUAAUCUUAUCCAAAAGUGGUACCCUGAAUGGCCAGUAGUAGGUGAAAAGCACAAGACAUUACUAGGAAAGUUUUUUUUAAAAGUUAGUUUUGUUUUCUCUGGUCAUUAGUCCCUGGAGUGGACAUACUGUGCGAUUGGAGCAUCCUCCAUGGCUGGAGGCUCUGUCUGCCUGCACUGAGGAAUGUGAGCCAUCCUGAUUAUCCUCCAGUGUUAUCUUGUUUUGAGUGAUUUGCUUAAGAGAAUUCCAUGCAUUAUAUCACCAGGCAUGGUGACACAUGCCUUUAAUCCCUGGAGGUAUUUAAUUCUCGAGUCAGAGGCAGGUAGAUCUCUGAGUUCAAGGCCAACCUGGUCUACAAAGCCAAUUCCAAGACAGCCAGACCUACACAGAAAAACCCUGUCUCAAAACAUCCCUCCUCAAGAAGAAUACUCAAUACAUCAUUUUAAAGUAUAUGAUUAGUGAUGACCAACCCUUUCCCAUUGAUUGAUCAGGGAUGGAUAUUAAGUCUUCUAUUGGUUAUACAUUAUGAAUGCCAGAAUGAAUUACUAUUAAUAUAAGAAUACUCUUUAUACAGAUUAGGAGUAUCAAGUGUGUUCUUGGUGUUUUAUGACUCAUGGGACUUACCAUUUAUUUCUAACAUAUCAGUGCAUUAAUGGAUAGGAAGGUAUAAACCAGUGAAAUAGAUGGUCAACCUUGGAUCAUUGUUGACUGCUUACCAGUUGGUACAGUGAGUGCAUUUAUACAUUCUGAGGUCCAUUACAAUGGUUCCAUAGCCCAUUGUCUGUAUUUGAAAUGGUCAAAUGCCUAGAUACCAGGAAUAUACAGUGUAGUUCAUUUUGGUCUUUAUCUUAAUAUAUUUUCAUGAUCGGUCAAUGUGGGAAUGAAUAAAUAUAUGUGCAAAUAAAACCAAUGGAUAUAGUUAGGCAUUGUCCAACUAUAAAAAUAUAUGAUAAGUUUGGAGAAUUGUUAAUAUACAGAGAAAAUAGCAAAUUCCAAAGAAAAAGUCACUACUCUUACCUCUCUACCUAAUGAUAUAUAAACAGUACAAUUAAGAGUUUUCAAAUUAUUGCAGUAGCUAAUUUGAAAUUAUUUAUUUUCUUAAAAAAUAAAUGACUCCAAGUAGUGCUUGAUCGAGUAAAAAAGCUGCAAAGCAAGGAUGAAGAGUGAGGAUGUCUUAAUUUUGUCAUAUUCUGUGUGCUGUAUGUCUCAGAGUGAAGGAACUAUGUGACAUGAUGGGAGUAUCUGCCAUGGUCAAGGGCUCUGUAGUUUCCCGAGAAGAAGUGCAUGUUGGAUGUGAGUUGAAGCCAACAUUCUUUUCUUGCUAUGGGUAGUUUGCUUAAGAUAAUCACUGUAUUAUUACGAAGUAUGUAAUAUACCUAACAGUGGCCAACAUUAUGCCAGUGCCCAGUAGGGGUUGAUGCAAAGUAGUCUAUUGAUAAGACAGACAUAAAACAUUGAAGAUAAUUAAUUAAAUAGCCACACUAAUGUUUCAGUAGCUCUGUAUACAAAUUAGGACUAGAAGGGCUCUUCUGCAUCUUGUGCAGUUCGUAGAGACGACAUUGGUACUAAGAUGAUGAAUUACCCAACAGACAGGAGAUGAAUGGAGAAGCAUAGGCUAGUCCUUGAUCAAUGAUGACCACUGUGGUAUGGAAGUCAUGAAUGAAUACAUAUGUGGUAUUCUCAGAUCCGUCCCCAAAGAUUAGUGCAUUCUUUGUUUUGAAUUAUCCUCUUGAUAAGUGUCAGGAAUUAGAACAUAUUACAUUUUAUAAUUUGUGUUUAUGCAUUUUUAUUCUACUUUUAUGAUUGGGCCAGUGUGAGAAGUAAUAAAUAAAUUAAAAACAUCAAUUAAGCAAAGUCAAAAUUUAAAAUAUAUGAUGAAACAAAAGUACCAUCAGUAGAUUUUGAAAUUAGUAUGUGAUCGUAUACCUACCACCUCUUUGGCUAUGAUGACACCAGCAGUAUAAAUUGUAGAAGUUGUCUACUUCUAGGCUACGGGGGAGUUCAAAAGUCUUCAUUUUUCUCUCAAUAGAAAAUGAAAUAUGUGCACUCUCAAUUAAUGAUUGUUAAACAGAUUGUUAGUAAAAGCUGAAAAGCGAUACUCAGUGGAGAGGAAACAGCAUUUUCUUUGUCAUGAUUUCUGCGCUUUGCCCCUUAGAGUAGGUUAGGAAGGAGAAUUCCUUAUUCACACCUGGAGGCCAAGGUAAGAAUUAGACAACAAUUCUUGUUUUUACUUGUGUAGUUUUUUAAUAACGUAAUCAAAUAUGAUAUUUAGACCAUGGUAUUAGUCUAUGUCAUUAUUUAGUGGCAGAAAGCCAUGUGCAGGCCAGUUUCUAAUGUGGAAUGGACAUGGAGCAUUCCACUGGCAGGCACAUGUAUGAAAAGCUGAGCAAUGUGAUGGUGAGGUAAAGUUUUGAGAAAGAGCCUAUAACGGAUUAUAGCAAGGGCAAUUAUCCAAUGGCAAACCUCUUGGGUUUCUGUGAGCCAUACUAAUUAAAAGUUACCAAUCAUGAAUUAGUGAGUUAUUAACUAAACAGGGUAGCAGUGAAAAGAGACCAGUCUUCAUCCUGAGCUUUAUUGUGACUCUAUAUGGGUACGUGUCUAGAGCUGAGGUCCACCACAGAAGUAAUACAAACCCCCUGUCUUGAAGUUACAGUGUAGAUAGAGAUGAGAAAAAUAUGAGGGCUUCAUUUUUCCUUUUGUUAAAAAUGCAUUUUCAAGCUAAUACUACACAUAGUUCAAGGAAAGAGCCAUUAUCCAAAUAGAUAGAUAAUAAUGAAUAGAAAUAAGCCUUAUUCAACUAUAAGAAUAUUUUGCAAGGCAAUCAGACAUUUCUAUUUACUGAAAACACUGUUCUGCACCAGGUAGGAGACCAGCAACAGAGUCUGUGUCUAUGUUACAGCUGACACUGUUUGUUUAUACAAGAGAAAUCAAAUAAAAGACAUCCCAAAUUGUCUAAAUGACUGACUAAUGAAAGAUCGAAUACAAAGCCAAUGCAAAUAGGGUCUCAUUCUUGCUAAUGAUCUUCUUUGCUCUGUAUUCCUGAAAGAACACAGUUGUGCUGAGCCAGUCUUCUUCGGUCAGGUCUGUGGGUGUGUCCAUGGGUGUGAAUAGUGUAUUUUCUUGAUUUUUUAAAGCCAUUCACACACACACACACACACACACACACACACACACACACACACACACACACAAUUAAAGUGUGAAUUAGAACUAUUUGGAAGACAUUUUGACUCAUUUGUGAAAAUUGGCUUAAUAUAAAGCAUUAUUACACUGACUGAUGUGUGCAUGUAUCCAAAAUUGAGUUUAAUUAAGAAUAGAGAUAUUGUUCUAGGCGGUAAUUGUGCAGAAGGGUGUUCGGCCUGCUCAGGGAUCACAAGUUUUGGUGAUUAUUGCAUGAUUAUUUGUAGUGAGCUUAUUGAUACAGCUCCAUGCUCAAUAAAACCAUGUGAACAUGAAGGAAGAAUGCAAGGACCAGCUUGAGCCCAUAAUAGUGGUGUUGCUAGUGUAGGAGUUUUGGACCAUGAAGCGUAUUUAGAACACAGACUUCCAAUACAAUAGGAAUCUAAUCUCUGUUCGGGGAGGGAACCUGUAGAAAGAUCUUGAGAAGUAUCCAUGGAUCUCGUGUUUAUGUUGACUAGAAAUUUGUCCGUGAGAGUCAGUGAAUAGAAUGGAAAUGAUAAGAUAUGGCAGAGGGAGCUGUGUUCCAGCUCCUAGGUGAUGUGUCAAAGGAAGAACAGUGAUAGACUGUGGAAGGGAUGAUAAAUGGACCAACAGGUUUUGCUCUGUUUCCAAGUGUCAGUAGCGACUGAUGUCUAGGUGAGAAUAUUACCCUGGGUUCACCGCAAGUUCAGAGCUCAUUUUAUCAUAAGACAAAUGCCAUCAUUACCAUGAGUGACCACUAAGUGCUCACUAAAUGCCGUCACAAAGUUAAAGAGUCUGGGUCACCUUGGCAAUGAGCAAUGUGCCUGUGGCUACAUUAUUUUUGCUACUGUCUUAAGUGUAUAAAAAUAGUGAGUUUAUGGUUUUAAAGAAUAAAUGACUAAGGAUAAAAAUCAACACACUAAACUGGAAAUAAAUGGCACAGUAAUAGCAUUUCUUGAAGUAACAGUUAUAAUUUAUCUAUUUUUCUCUUAGUUUAAAAUUUUUCAAUAUUUUAUUAAUUCUCUGAGAAUUUAAUAUAAUGUCUCUUAAUUUUUUUAUUCUCAUAAAUGUAUACUGUAUUUGCAUCAUUACACACACCCGCAAACACAUACACUCCUAGGCCUCACCAUUUGCAAAUGUCCUUUUUCUGUUCUACAGGACACUACCUCGGCUGAUCUGUUCCUAAUCAUGAAGAUCUCAGCCCUUGCCCUCCGGGAAGAGAGAAUAUUAUGAAAUGUAAGUGAUGAUGUUAUCAAUUUGGGCCGUUAUCUCAUCGUUUCAAUUGUGUCAUUACAGAAGGUAACUGGAUGUCAGCAGGCCCUAUAUUCCGGUGAUGAUAAUAAUGUUCUACGAACCCACAUUAAUUCAAUUGAGCACAAAUGAAGUACAAGAACAAAGUGGUCCUUUCCCUCAUUUUCAAAAGUUGAAUUGAACACCCCUUCCCUGCUGGAGGCUGCUCCUGAGGGAGUUGUGCUUGCGGGUAUACAGUCUCACGGUGUGCCUGUUCACGUUAAAGGCGUGAAGCUGAAUGCGAAUGGGCUGAUGAUGUAAAGGGAAGGCAUCUGAGGGAACCCUGUGAUCUCUGUGCGCAACUGAAGUCCGUCGCAUGAAAGGGUUAGUGGGCCAUGUGGUGAGACUGCCUGAAGUAAAGCUUAAGAACCUACCUUUGGCGUUGGUGAGGGCUCAUACACAGUGAUUUUGUGCAGAGACUGAAUAAAUGUCUCGAUCGAUACAAAUAUUCGGGAGGAAGUAAAGUGAUCCCAGUAUGUGGACCGAUUUUUUAAAGCAUGAAUUAUUAAUUUAGUUCUGGAAUGUCUUGGUCCAUUCAGCUUGAAAUGCUAACGGUUCCUUGGUAUUUAAUUCGUUAUGGGAAAAAGUUAAGCAAAUAGAUGAAGGUUAAUUAAACGGAAGAGUGUGCAGAGUGACACCGAGGCCAGCUCAUGCUUCUCUGUAUGCUUCUCUAUACUCAGUAGAAUGGAUGCACAUGGGAUCCUUUCCUCAACACUUCAGGACAGAGGUCCCAACAUUGACAGUGUGGUCAAGGGCAGUAUAGAUAUAGGUGAGUAGCAGACCGAGUUUCUGCUCUUGCUUGUCCGUUUUGUUACAGAUGAUCACUGUCUGUUUAAAAUUGACAUUAUGUGUCAUAUAGUCAAAGAAGACAACACAUAUACUAGGUGGUCCUGUUUGCACAAAUGAGACCUAUACACAGUAAGCUUGGACUGCUUUCUGGAACAGAGAGAUCACAGAUACGCUCUAAUUGCAGGCAAAGACCAUGUUCUUGUUAAGAAAAUGAAAUAGAUGUAAGCGUACCCACCCUGGAAUUGUAUAAUAAAAGGAAGACUUGUUUAAGUAGGGCCAUGUAGUGUGUUCUGCUAAAGAAGUCUAAAGAAAACUGUAGAAACCAAUUCCUCCUGACCUAUAUGGCUGUAGAUUCUUUUUUGUUGACUUUCUUUUUGAAAAUGUAUGACUAAAUUAAUAAGGAAAUAUUCACACCCAGAAAUUUUAAAUAAUUGAGAUAUUCCCAUGAGAACUUUUGCCAUGAAAUAAGAACUAUGAUCAACUCUCUUCUUUUCCUCUUAAACCCAUUUAACCCAAAAGAUUUCGUCUGUUGCCUUUGUGUAUAAGGGAGCCCCAAAUACAUAUUAAAUACUCAGUUUAAGGGUUCUUUCUUUGUACCUUGUGGACUUGUCACUAUUGAGUAAACCAGUCUUUUAUAAAGUAAAUUGGAAGUGGACCAGUCACGGGCUAGUGAUUAAAAUGUUUUGAGAUAAGUACUAUGAUUAUAGUUCUUAGCCAAUAACAUCUAUGAAAGGAACUAUUGUCUCUCUUGUCUUUGUUUUUAUAGAACAUGGUGAAUAUGGCCACUUUGUAUGUACCAGUAAGAUGGGGUUUUUUAUAUUCUUUCACCAAACUGAUGGGCAUUUUCCUAUCUCGGGCACAAAUUCUAGUGAGCUGAUGUGUUUGCUGGUUUGUUAGGAGGUUCUAAUGCUCCCUGAUUUUUAUUUGCUGAUACUUAGUAUCUGAGAAUGCUAAAACAAUUAGUAAUAAGAGUAUUAAUUUCUUCUCAAUAACUAUUGACUUUCAUCCUUGUCAGACCUUGUGUCAAACAUGGAGUCCAUACAGGAGCCUGCUCUAGUAACUCUAUGGGAUUGGUUAAUACCAGCUCACACACAAUGUAACAGAACAAGUAUACAUGUGGUCCAGAAAUGCAGAGUUCUCUGCUCAAUUUAAAUUAUGUAUACUGUAUGAGAGGGGGCAUUACUAUGCUGUGAGGUCUUUCACAACCUCAACUGUCAGCCAGGAGCACAUGAAAUGUUUGUUGAAUGAGUAGGUGAAUCAAUGAUAACAAAAAGAAUGGAUAAAUAAAUAAAACAAUGAAUGAAUGAACGAUUCUUUGAGGAGUUAAAAAAAGGAAAGAAUGAAGUCAUGAAAAAAUCAAGGAUUGUGCCAAGAGCAGAUUAACAAUACACUAAUUAGUGACUAAGUUAAAAAGUGAAUGAGUACAUGGAAUGUUUGUGAGUAGAUACAUUAAUAAGCAGGCCAGCAUGGAAUGAGUGAGUGAUGAACAAUGAAGCCAGUGAGUUAAUGAAUGAAAGACAAACAUACCAGUGAGUCAACCUAGGAGAAGUGAAUGGGCAAUCUUGAGUGGAUCAGUCAGUCCAUGGAUUCCUGAAUGGAUUUAUGAAUGAUUGGAUACGUAGACUUCAUCUGUAAUGAAGGGAUAAAUGAAGCAGGGAGUCAGUGUUUGUGUCAUUAAUGAGAGGAAAAGUUACUGUUUACCUGAAUGAAUGAAUGAAUGAAUGAAUGAAUGACUCACUCAAUGAUGUGUAACUGAGUGACUCAUUAAAAGGAAAGAAAAUCAUUAUAACAACUGCAUAAUAAACAUGUAACUGAAAGAAAUGAUAAAUGAACAUGUAAAUGAAAAGUCCAAGGGGUAGAUGAAUGAAGAUAUCAUAGUUAAUGAAUAAAAUAAUUGAUUAGGACACAAAUUAGUCAGCAAGUAUGUAAUUAAAGAAUAAGUUAAGUUGUAGUGAAUGAAUGACUGAACAAGUGAAUUAGUUGAUGUAUGAAUGAGUCAGCUGUCUGGGCGUGAGGCAAUGAAUGAACUCGAAGCUACUCUUUCUCUGUGUUCCAAGGAGAGUGACCACGCCCAGCUCCACACCAGUUGUAAAUACUUGAGCCAGAGCUCCCUGCUUUCUCUAUCAUGGGCGUUUGUUUACAUGUCAGCCCUAAACUAAAGAGCCUUGAGGGCUGGGAACUGGGUCAAAUUCUUCUCUCUAUCCAUAGCCCCGGCCCAGCCUUGAGCCUGGUAGGCGCCCAGUAAAUUAUUACUGAAUGAGUGAGCAAAGGACUAAAAAUACAUGUGCUUUUGUGGAACCAGUAUGGCCUGGUAGCUGCUCUUUGGAAGAGUGUGCUAUGUGUCAGAUGGUCUGUGGCAUCCCUCCCUGCAAGACCAGAUUCUCGCCAGGACCCAGCUUUCUGUGCCAGAAAAUGAGACAGGAUACUGGCAGUUCUGACUGCCCGGGACACUGGCCCAUCCUUGGGUAACUCUGGCUUGGCAUGGUGGAAUGGAAGCCCUGGGUCUUCCCGAAAGCUACCCUUGCCUCUGCCAAAACAGGAGAUCAAAAAUAACUGAGGCUUGUUUUUAUGCCUCUGCUGAGUGGGCGCAUGCCUUGCCUUUCCAAGCAAACCAAAUUCCUCUUGCUUCUAAUCAUGGGACUUUGGGUUUAAUGAGAAGCACCUUCCCACAGUCAGCCUCCUGUUCUGUCCAGCUACAGGAGGACAAUGAUACCUUCCUGAGGGAUUUGUACCUUUCCCAGGAGCUUAUUGUAGGGUAGUUAGUGAUACUUCACGUUUUUCAUGUCUGUGGCUUCAUACCUGGGAGGGAAGAGAUACCUUACAGAAUUUAAAAAUUACUGUUCUGGCUGUAUUUAUUUGACCCUUUCAGUUAUGUUCGUCUAAAGCUAUGCUUAUGUUACCCAGAUCCUCAUAGCCUAGAAGACUAGAGAGGUCAACCAAGUUCUAAGAGGGAUAGCAGAUGAGGCAAGCCUGUCAAGAAAAGGCACAACAUGCCCUUCUACCAGAGAACAGAUGAUUUAAAAAGUAUGUUGGCAGCACUUUUACUCUAUAUGGGACACUUGCCUAAGAUCCAGCAUCCAUGGUUCCUUCCUUCUCUCUGCUCCCUCCCUCCCUCCCUCCCUCCCUCCCUCUUUCUUCCCUCCUCUCUUUGAGCGAGUAUGUGUCUAGCAAUACCAUAGGCCUGACUCCAGACAUUCUUUCUUUCUUGCCAUGGUGGUCCCUGACCCCGGACGCCAGCCCUCAUUCCCAGUUCUGCAUCCGCCCUUUGGACUCAGUGAUGAUGUAUAGGAUCACCCUCGAGGAUUUGAUUACAGUUCACACUAUCCAUCCUACUUCAGACCAACUCAGGUAAAUCCCUACCUUCCUAAUGUUCACAUCUGAGUCUCAAAUUUUGACUCAUUUCAUUUGAUGGUUUACCAUCUGAGAACACUCUGGACCCCCAUGAGAAGAGCUCAGACUGUGUUUGUGGCAGUUUGUAACCCCUGAAUGUUGUGCCUUGGCAAGCACUGAGUGCUACAGGCUAGAGUCUAAAGCUUUGCUUUAAGGGUGGUACACACAUAGAAGACACCACAGUUAAGUUCCCCCUUGUUGCCCAGAAUUUUCUGGGUAAGCAAAGUAACCAAUCUUAGAACAUUCAACAACUUCAAAAUAGCCUUAGUUGUUCUUGGAAUUAUGUCACCGUCAUUAUCACCACCACUACCACUGGUGCCACCAUCAUCACCAACACCAUGAUCACUACCACUAUCACAACCUCUGUCGCCACCAUUCCCACCAUACCAUCGCUACCACCACGAUCACCACCGCUACCCCCAACAUCAUCACAAUCAUCACAGCCAUCGCCAUCGUCACUAACAUUGUCCCCAUCAUUACAGCCAUCAUCAGUAUCAUCAUAACUACCACCACCUACCAUGAUAGCCACCUCCAAUAACACCACUGUUACCACUAACACUACCAUCAAAAACCAUCACCACUAUUACCACCAUCACCAUUACCAGCAACAAUAGCAUCAUCACUACCACCACAACCAUCAUAACCAUCACUGCUAUCAACAAUGCCAUCAACUCCAGUAACACCAUCACUGCCAUUAUUAACACAACCACCACUACCACCAUGACCAGCACUAUCAACAACAGUGCUUCGACCAGUAUAACUAUCACGAUCAUCAUCACUACCAUAAUCACUACCACCACCACCACCACCACCACCACCACCACCACCACCACCAACGUAGCAACAAUACUACACUAACACCACCACUGCCAUCAUGGCCACUGCCAAUGUCAGUGAGACUUCUCCCUCAUCUUGCCCUGAGAUGUAUCACCCAUGUUCUGUGCUCUUACUUAGCGUUGACUUUGACACAUAUUCAGAGAUACCACAUUGGUCACAAAUGACCUGUUUGGGUAUGCACCACUCCAAGCAGACCCUGCCAUCCCUGGACUUGAACUUGAUGAUCUCUGACCUCUGCUGCCCAGAACAGAACUUGGUAUAAAACUUGAGCAUGGAGAUUGCUGGGGAAAGGUAAAGAUCAAUGAAGGCAAAACACAUGAUUGUAUGCCCAUCCUGAGUCCAGAGUAUGUGUCCGACUCAAGGUCCUGUAUCCCCCAAGCACAGAUAGUCCCUGCUCGCUGCUGGGGCCUGCCCUCCUCCUCCAGCUCCACUCAUCCUUUGCCUGUCCCUUUCUAGAAGAUGUGUAACCCUAAUCCUUGAAAUUGCCUGGCAUGAAUUUUAUUCCCUGCUUAAAUAAAUCUCACUCCCCCACGAAGUUUGGACAGGAUGCAGGCAAUCAGACUAGGGUUUGGAACCGAAAGUUUUGCAAAAGACCUCUUUCAAAAUUUGAAACCCCAUGGUCACAGGCCAGAGCUGAGUCUGACUUGGGAGAAUGUAUGUUCUGUGACCCCCUCCCAAAGGAAGAGAGGGAGUGAAGGCUAAAACAAGUCCUCCUGUCACUGAGCCCAUGGACGAUUUGCAAGGCUGAAAACCCUGUGAUUUAGUUCUGUUUCUCUGAUGGAACUGGAGAGAGAUUGGUCCCCUCCCUAGCUCUUCUUUCAAGCUUUUGGCAAAAGCCUCAAUCCUCCCCUAACCGGCAAGGAGACUAGGCCUAAAAAAAUCACGGAGAGUGCAUGGCAUGGAUAGGUGUAGUUUUCUGGCCCAGGCUAGGUGGGGUGUAGGGGUAGGACCAGUGCAAACUGUGUCACAAGGCCUCACUUUUCCAAAGGAAGGAAUGAUUAGGAGACCUGGUAUUUUCUUUCUUCACCCAGGGAGGUACCCUUGUGUAUCCUUGGAGAAGUCCCAGAACUCAACUGUAAGAAACAAGUUGGUUUCUUUUCGCUGUUGGUCAUAUGUAUCUCCUACUCCAUGUUAUGUGGGCAUGCUCUGCCUGGCAGACUGCUAGAAGCAGGCAGAAGCUCCCCCAGAUAGAGGGUGUGUUUUUCCAUCUCUUCAAAGUCUUCAAGGCCCACCUGUGUCUGCACCUCUACCUCCAGAUGGAGUGAAACAUGCUGACCUCUUUGGCACAGCUCCUUUGGCCUGCCUCUCAAGCUCCCGGGAGGACUCAGCAUUUUUCUUUGGCUUUUAUAAAGAGAGACAUUGCUUCCCUUCAUCAGAUAAUUGAGCUGAACCUAGUGAUUGCCUAGUCCCGCCUCAGUUUUCCCACGUGUAAUAGGGACACCAUGGUAACAUGAGUUCUCCCUCACUAUUUUAGCUUUUGAAGGAGCUAAGGAUUGUUUCUCCUGGCCUAGACUUAGGUGCAUACUUCCUUCUUCCCAUCCUCUCAGGUCCCCCUGCAUGCUUGCUCUUAAUUUCGGAUCCAGUUGAUGAUAUUUUAUUGCCCCUUAAAUUCACCCACUCUCCCACCAUUGUCUUUUAGGACUGUGUAGAAGUCAUUCUUCCCGUUACCAGAGCCCAUUCUCAGCAUAGUUCUGGUAUCAUCAGUGGCUGGAGACCGUGGCUAGUUCCCCGGCCAGCUCUAGAGCUCCCUUCCUUCAGCUGUCCCUUCAUCUCUGCUGCAUGGGGUAUUUUUGAGCUCCUGGCUUCAUUUAGUGAUGUACCUAACAACUAUGAUGGUCUCUGAGGAGCCCAAAACCACAGGUCAGAUCUCAGACUUCUUAAAAAAAAAAAAAACUGAACAAUUUUGUCUUUCUUAGAGAACUCCCUGCCAUUUCCUCACAGUCUAGGCCCUAUUCUUCUUCAAAAACAAAGGCUUAGAUGAGCAGAGGGAACCCAGCUCUGUCUUCAUACCUGGGGUGUGUCUCCUUUCUCCUUAGCCACCUUCAGAGGUAGUCAUCUUGUGUGGGGCCUAGACAUUUUUGUCUCUACUCAGAGCCUCGCUCUUUCUAGCUUCCAUCCUACUUUAUUUGUAUUGUAACAUAGUUUAUGAUUUGCUCAUUGGAAUAACAGAGCUUAGGUAACUCCCAGCUUAGUGACCAUUCUGAAAGCCAUAUAGAGAAGCAUCUGGAAUAGUUCUUCCUGCCAGUACCCAACCCAAAUAGCAUUUUUCCAAAGACAAGGCACACAUAGAUUACAGCCUAGCAGCAGGGUUCCCUUCUCUUUCUUUUGUGUAGAAUCAGAGUCACCCCAUACCCUAUUCUGGCUCUCUAAGCUCACCUCACCCCAAAGCUUGGUUAUUGGCACUCAUUAGCUCCAGUAUGCUUUAUUCUGUGACUGUGGGGGCAGAUUCAGUGGGUACCCAACUGUCAUUAACCUUGGCCCAUUUUUCCCUAGCAAUGAGAGCCACGGAGCUCAACUCUUGGGCCAAGAAUGAUGUGGCCAGAACUAUCACACUCCCAGGAUCCAAGCAAGCUGCUGGGCCCUAAAUUCUCAGAUAAUAAGAGCCUGUGAAAUGCACCCAUAGUGGUCACCAAGUGGAUGGGACAGUGACCACAUAGGAAGCAGUGGACUCUGGAGACAUAAGUCACGGUCCCCUGAAACAGAACCUUUAGAGGCUUGGUUGCCUGAUCCAGCUUCCUGUGAGGACAAAUGCCAGGGGAGCAGUGCCAAUCUUGCUGGGUAAGCUCUACUUUUUCUGGUUACUCUCAAUGCUGUGUGUCAGGGACAAGACAAGACUUGAUAUGGUGGCUGCUUGGAUUGUAAGCACUGAAAGAUGAGCUUUCCAAGUGAGCUGGAAUGUCUGUACAGCCUGUGGGGAGGCCAGGUACACUGGCUCCUCCUGGAGAGUAGCAGUAGCUACUUCUGGCAGUGGCUUCUCUGAGUGGAAGGCAAGAAUGGCCAGACAAGUCCCCCAUUUCCACAUCUUUGGUCAUCACAGAUGACUUGAUACCAGGAGCCUUUCUAGCAGCUCGAGCUGGGGCUUGGGAUAACCUCUGUUCCCCCCACCUGUAGUAUUUUUUAAAAUGAUGCAAACAAGACAGAUGUCAUGGUGUGCACUUGUGACCCCAGCUCUGGAGAGGCUGAAGCUGGAGCAUUGCAGGUUUCCAGCCAGCCUGGCCUUUAGACAGUUGCAUUUUAUGACCUACAGACUCCCAAGGGGAAACAAAAAAGCAGGAGCCAUGUGUGGCUCUCCUCUAGAAGAUACUAAGCUAAGAAAUCACAUUUAUCAUGUGAUAUUUAAAAAAAAAAAUAUUUUCUCAUUUCAUAGAAGUUCCUGUUCUUUGGAAAAACAUGAAAAAUAUGGGGAGGUGACAAAAUUUUCAUAGCCAUGCCACUCAAAGAUAGCCACUGCCAACUUUGGCUAACAGUGUUUGGUUUUUGGUUUAUUCCUAUAGUGUGUGUGUGUGUGUGUGUGUGUGUGUGUGUGUGUGUGUGUGUGUGUGUGUGUGUUUAAUUGAGCUCAUCAUUGCUAUUUUUUUCUCAUCUGCUUAUGUAUCCUAAACACUGCCCCAUGCCAUUCAGUAAUUUCUCAUCUUUGGUUUUUUUAAUGGUCAUGUAGGAGUCUAGCCAGUGACUACAAUUGACAAAAUUGGUCUGUGUGUGUCCAUCUGCAGACAGAUGCAAAGUUGGGUGGCGGAUGUUAGGAGGCUUCUCUACAUGCUAUUCCUUCACAAUUCUGACCGGUAUCUUGCUGUUCUUUGUGUAAGCCAGUGGCUCUGUCAGGAGACAUGAGCACAUGGCCAAAUUACCCUCUGCAAACUUUUUGCCCAUUAUGUUUCCAAAAUUAGUUUGAGAAAGUGCCUGCUGCUCUGGGAAUUAUCAGAGUUUUUAACCUUUGCUGAUUUGUCAAAACAUGGCAUUUCACCAUUUCCAUCCCCACAGCUUUUAUCACAGUGGCACAGAAUACUUUUCCGCCCUCUUUGUGGGGUAUUUGUAUCUAAAUUGCCAGCUCAGGCUCCUUGCACUUUUCAUUAUUCCUUUAGUUUUUGUGUUUUUUUGUCAAACUCAUGCAUACACAUCAUUUUAAGAGCCAGAUCCUUCUACAAGGUUGUCAAGGAAGCAUCAGCCCUCCCACCCUCCCGGCUCCACCCGAAUAUUAUGCGUUACCUGUAACUGCUUUAACUGAUUCUCUUGACAUUUACAUCCAUAACGCUAAGUAACAUUCUUGUUUUUCUGCUUCUUGAUUUUCUUUCUUUGUGUGUGUGAUUUUUUUUUAAGCUUAGGCAUCAUUCUGAUUGUUCUAUUGUUGAAGACAAGCAUUUAACCCUCUUUUACAUAUGCCCUUGUCUUCACCCCGCACACACACCCCUGUACUGUCCUCCCAAUAGAUUAUUUUGAAAUGUUGGUUUGAUCAAUACACAAGAGUUUACACCCCUCUAAGAGUGUGACUAUGUCCACAAAGAUGAACAAUGUCCCGAGUAUUCAUCUCCUCCCUUUUUCUGGAGAGGGAGAGAGAGAGAGCGCUUUUCUCAUUGGUUGUUUAAUUUUGUCUUGGUUUAAGUGCGGCUCAGGAUAAUACAAACAGGAGUUGUUUAAGACACAUGCAUACCAUGGUGAAGUUUCGUUUUGGAGUCAGCUUUUCUUUCUUCUCGUGGGCUAACUUUACACUGCCACCAUCUUCGUUUUCCCGUCUUCUCCUCCUGGGGAUAGGUUCUUUUGGUUUUUUUUUUUUCUCCCUAGAUGGGUUCUUGGCUUUUAUAGAUACCAUGCUAUCUGUUUUGGGGGUCACUCUUCUGUUUUGCUAGAGUUUCAAGAGAAAAGGUUCAUGGGAAGUAAACUUUUUAAGACCUUUCACAUUUGAAUAGGAAAAUGUCUACAUUGUCAUUGGUAACUCAGCAGCUGGGUAUAAAAUUCUAAGUAAUGGACUUUCCCCUCAGAUUUUCAGAGAUACAUAGACUUAGAAAUGGGAAAACAAUGUCAAAGAAAACAGUUUAGAAACUCUGAGGAUAAGAAAAUGAGAGAGAGAGAGAGAGAGAGAGAGAGA
Molecule: long non-coding RNA, 23011 nt
Organism: Peromyscus californicus insignis
Lineage: Eukaryota; Metazoa; Chordata; Mammalia; Rodentia; Cricetidae
Exons: 15
Source: RefSeq, a predicted model, not a curated record